CCUCUGGGAUCCAUUGGGUUCCGGCAUUGGAAUGAGAACAAUAUAAAUCUUUUAACGAGGAUCUAGUGGAGGGCAAGUCUGGUGCCAGCAGCCGCGGUAAUUCCAGCUCCGCAAGUGUAUAUCUAUGUUGCUGCGGUUAAAAAGCUCGUAGUUGGAUCUGCGUGUUUAGCGUCCGGUUCGACUUUUGGUCGUUACUGGAACGCGACACAGAUGUGCUGGUUUGCCGUUGAUGCUCUUAAUCGGGUGUCAGUGGCGGCUAGCGAGUUUACUUUGAAAAAAUUAGAGUGCUCAAAACAGGCGUUUCGCCUGAAUAUUUCUGCAUGGAAUAAUAGAAUAGGACUUCGAUUCUAUUCUGUUGGUUUUCGGAAUGCGAAGUAAUGAUUAAGAGGGACAGACGGGGGCAUUCGUACUGCGACGUUAGAGGUGAAAUUCUUGGAUCGUCGCAAGACGUACUACUGCGAAGGCAUUUGCCAAGAAUGUUUUCAUUAAUCAAGAACGAAAGUUAUGGGUUCGAAGGCGAUCAGAUACCGCCCUAGUCAUAACCGUAAACGAUUCAAACUGGGCGCCCGACGGUGUUUUUAUUGACCCGUCGGGAACCCUCCCGGAAACGAAAGUGUUCGUGUUCCGGGGGAAAUAUGUCUGCAAAGAGGAAACUUAAAGGAAUUGACGGAAGGGCACCACCAGGGGUGGAGCCUGCGGCUUAAUUUGACCCAACACGGGGAAACUCACCCGGCCCGGACACCGUAAGGAUUGACAGAUUGAGAGCUCUUUCUUGAUUCGGUGGGUGGUGGUGCAUGGCCGUUCUUAGUUGGUGGAGUGAUUUGUCUGGUUUAUUCCGAUAACGAACGAGACUCUGGCCUGCUAACUAGUGUUCACAUCUUUACGUGUGCUUCGCUUCUUAGAGGGACAGGCGGCUUCCAGCCGCAUGAAGAAGAGCAAUAACAGGUCUGUGAUGCCCUUAGAUGUCCGGGGCUGCACGCGCGCUACACUGAAAGAAUCAGCGUGUACGUUACCUGGCUCGAAAGAGUCGGGUAAUCCGGUGAAAAUCUUUCGUGAUUGGGAUCGGGACUUGCAAUUAUUUCCCUUGAACGAGGAAUCCCUAGUAAGUGCGGGUCAUCAGCUCGCGCUGAUUACGUCCCUGCCCUUUGCACACACCGCCCGUCGCUGCCCGGAACUGAGCCGUUUCGAGAAAAAUGGGGACUGUCUACUUGAGGUCUUCACGGACUUUUUGUAAAUGGAAACCGCUUUAAUCGCAGCGGCUUGAACCGGGCAAAAGUCGUAACAAGGUUUCCGUAGGUGACCUGCGGAAG
This 1310-nucleotide ribosomal RNA is filed under the name metagenome. RNAcentral describes it as "SSU rRNA". It matches the Rfam family "Eukaryotic small subunit ribosomal RNA", at positions 482 to 1823 of the family's 1831-position model. The record is from RNAcentral.